Molecule: ribosomal RNA, 253 nt
Filed under: uncultured bacterium
Lineage: Bacteria
Description: partial 16S ribosomal RNA
Rfam family: Bacterial small subunit ribosomal RNA
Source: RNAcentral
UACAGAGGGUGCAAGCGUUGUCCGGAAUUAUUGGGCGUAAAGCGCGUGUAGGCGGCUUUGCAAGUCGGGUGUGAAAGCCCUCAGCUUAACUGAGGAAGUGCGCCCGAAACUGCUUGGCUUGAGUACCGGAGAGGAUGGCGGAAUUCCCCAAGUAGAGGUGAAAUUCGUAGAUAUGGGGAGGAACACCGGUGGCGAAGGCGGCCAUCUGGACGGAUACUGACGCUGAGACGCGAAAGCGUGGGUAGCAAACAGG